GAAUUCUCUUGUGAAGUAUUCGGCUACCACCUUUCUCUCCCCUUUCCUUCACUUUCUCACCAACCAAACACUAUUAACGCUACUAUCUUUUCACUAAAAUACCAUUUUGAAGGCAAGCAAGGCUAAUGGAUACUUCUAAGGAGAGAUUUGUAGGAGGAUUUUCUGAAAUUAAAGGGAUUGCAGCAGAUCGAGGUACAGAUGAAUCUACUGAGGAGCUGAGUAAUGCUGAGGAGGGAGGGGUCGACAUUUAGUAGUCCCUGGGUAGUUUGGUUUCUUUCUGAUGACAAUAUAUGUUUCUUACGUUUUGAUACUAGACCCCACAUAGGGAUGUUUUAUUGAGUUAACUUCUAGACAAGAUACCUUUGGGUAUAAGUUAUAUUUUAUGGUGGGGUGAUGGAAACCCCUCCUGCUUUAAGUUAGUUUUCUUUUAUAAGGACUGUAGGGACUGAGUCACUUUUUGUUUAAAGUAGUUACGUUAAAUGAAUGGAUAACGGACUCUGAGAGUCCUUUGUAAAGGAA
Carya illinoinensis is the source of this 519-nucleotide long non-coding RNA. RefSeq lists it as uncharacterized. NCBI's taxonomy places the organism in Eukaryota, Viridiplantae, Streptophyta, Magnoliopsida, Fagales, Juglandaceae. The transcript is spliced from 3 exons. The record is from RefSeq and is a predicted model, not a curated record.